This 253-nucleotide ribosomal RNA is filed under the name uncultured bacterium. Its description in RNAcentral is "partial 16S ribosomal RNA". It matches the Rfam family "Bacterial small subunit ribosomal RNA", at positions 524 to 776 of the family's 1533-position model. The record is from RNAcentral.
UACAGAGGGUGCAAGCGUUAUCCGGAAUGAUUGGGCGUAAAGAGCUCGUAGGCGGCCUGUUGCGUCCGCUGUGAAAGCCCGGGGCUUAACCCCGGGUCUGCAGUGGAUACGGGCAGGCUAGAGGUAGGUAGGGGAGAAUGGAAUUCCCGGUGUAGCGGUGAAAUGCGCAGAUAUCGGGAGGAACACCGGUGGCGAAGGCGGUUCUCUGGGCCUUACCUGACGCUGAGACGCGAAAGCGUGGGGAGCAAACAGG